Dallia pectoralis (Alaska blackfish) is the source of this 64-nucleotide non-coding RNA. NCBI's taxonomy places the organism in Eukaryota, Metazoa, Chordata, Actinopteri, Esociformes, Umbridae. The record is from the annotation of a GenBank genome assembly.
GAGUUGGUAGCUCAGUGGUAGAGUGCAUGCUUUGAAUGUAUGACAAGAUUCAAUCCCCAGGUCG